UUAUUGUGUUGCCUAGGCUGGAGUGCGGCGGCGCAAUCAUGAUAAUGGCUCACCAUAGCCUCCACCUCUCUGGACUCAAGUGAUCCUCCCACCUCAGCCUCCCUAGUAACUCGGGGUACAGAUGCAUGUCCCAGCACCCAGCCUGUAAUGCUCAGAACAGCGCUGGCUACAAAAGUGCCCUUGGUGUCAUCUUUGUUUUGUUGUCAUUCAAAACAGGGCUUACCUAGGAAGCUCUAAGGCCAGCCAGUCACCAGGUUUGGAAAGUCCAAAGAAGACCAGCAAGCAUCUAAAAGCCAGUGUGGUGCCACGGCAGGGAGCAUACUCAGCCUCUUGCUAGCUGAGCUGGAGGUGGACGAGAGACAGCAUCUCCUCUGUCCUGUUCUUCCUGUCCUGUACUGGUUCCAUCAUAGCUUUGUGAAAAUUCAUCAAGUGGCUGGUGCGGUGGCUCACGCCUGUCAUCUCAGCACUUUGGAAGAUUUCAACCAGUCAGCUAUUGAAGAGAUGGCAGGCAAUGAAUCUGGCUCCUUCUAUGGGAAGAAAACAGAAACACGUGCUGCUUGUCCGACUGAGGCAGGGGAAACAAGCUCCCUCUCCUGCACAAGACCUGUAGGGCUUGGCAUCUGUGAGCACUCCAGUAAGUAUUUACUACUAAAUUCAGUUGUCAUUCGUCUAGAAUGUACUGGGGGCCAGCGCCUGUUUUUCUAAGCCUGUCUUAUUUAAUCUUUACCAUCACCUCAUGAUUUACUCUUAUCCUUAUUUUACAGUGAAGAAAUGGAGAUUUUUGGGAGGCUGAGUAAUUGGCCUGCAGUUAUAUAAAUGUGGAAAAGCAGGCUUCAGACUAAAGCACGUUUGACUCGAGAGCUUGUGAUGUUAAUCACUAUGCCAUCAUGCCCCCUUCCUUUUGUUUUAUGGAUGAAUAAUAUGUGCUCUUUCACUUAAUGAAAAGUGUGGUUUUGGCAGAUCUCUGCUUGAACACAUCUGUAGUGGAGACGAAGGGACUUGGAAGUAGGGAUUCUCUCACCAGCUUCACCAGGAAAAUAGAAAUAUACAACUUACUUGUAUAUAGAAAAUAACCAGGAAAAUAGACAAGAAAGCUGUUUCCUGGUGAAAACAGCUUUGCGAGGAAAACAGAAGUGUAAAACUUGGCACCUAGCAUAUAACCUAGAAAAAGCAGAUCUCCCUCACCAGGAGCGAAGUGUCAUGUAGGGACAUGUAGACAUUUAAAAAUACAAAUAUUCACAUCUUAUAAAGGCACAACCAAGCAAAAUGAUAUAUAUUAAAUCCAUUAGAUGGUUGCUCCUGGGGGUGGAAAUAGGAGUGGAGAGUAGAGUUAGAAGACAAUAAAUAAAUAUAUAAACAGGAGAGGGGCCUUCUAAGGGUGUAAUGAUGAUAAUGUGAUAUGAGCUGAGAAAUGCAAUUAAUACAAUCUUUUACACUUGAGCAUGUCUCCCCCCCUCCCUGAAAUAAUAAGAUUCAAAGCAAAGGAAAAGUAGAUCAAGUCAAGACAAUGGGUGGAAGGGUGUGGAAGCGCUAGGAAGACAUGAGUGAGUGCCUCCUUUUUCACAUUCAGGAAUUAUUUAGUGUUAAGAUGGAGGGGCUUUAAUGUAAACACCAGCUACACACAGGCACAAGGUUGGCUCCACCGGGCAUUCAAUUUUUGCCAGAGAAUGAAAAGCUUGGGGUCCCAUCAUCCACAUACUACAUGGGAAACAGUCUCAGAAUGUGCAAGCUAAAAAAGAUGAUCACAUUAUUUUCCAGAUAAGAAAGCCGAAGUUCAGAGUGGUAAAAGAACCAGUCCAAGAUGGCACAGCUAAUUUGGGACAGAUCUCAAAUGGCAAACCAGUUCCCUCCCCCAUUGACCACACUGCAUCUCCAGGGUCAUCUGCCUCAGCUGGUUUCUGGACAGCCCCACACAGUGAUAACUUUGCUUCUCCUGUUGAACUAGGGGUGGAUUUGCUUGGUCAAUUUUUCUCUUUUUCAUUACCUUGACUCUGGAGAGCCUCAACUAAGGAGGAUACUCAGUAAAUAUUGAUGACAGUGAUAGCCAAUAUUAAGAAUAAUGUUUUAGCCAGGUGCAGUGGCUUAUGCCUGUAAUCCCAGCACUUUGGGAUGUGGAAGGAGGAUCACUUGAGCCAAGGAGUUUGAGACCAACCUGGGCAACUUAGUGAGAUUCCCAUCUCCACAAAUAAAUUUGAAAAAUAGCUGGGUAUGACAGCACGUGCCUGUAGCCCCAGCUAUUUGAGAGGCUGAGGCAGGAAUUCGAGGCUGCAGUGAGCUGUGAUGGCACCACUGCACUCAAGUCUAGGUGACAGAGUGAGACCCACCACCCUGUCUCUAGAAAUUGGAAAAAAAAUGGUGUUCUUUAAAUAUUCGAACUAUUUAGUGAGGAACUUAGCUUUGUACUGUGCAUUCUGGAUGGUUGUGUCUUUUCAUUUAUUCUAGUUUUACCUCUGUUGUUUUACUAAUUGCAUGUCACCCUUACCUUGGCUUUAGUAGCCUCAUUUGGCCAAAGAGGGGCAUGGUAUUAUUUUCUCCAAAGAGUCCCUAUAGUCAAAGUUUCUAUGAUCAAGCCUCUUCUGGGGUCCCAGAACUAGCAUUCCUUAUACAAGUAGGAAUGGGGGAGUUCAUGGUCACCACGUGGCCUGCACUGAACACUUCUGCAUUUCAUCUUCUCAGCCCUAUAAGACUCCUGUGUCAUCACACCCAGAAGGGAGUUGCUCUCACUCACCAGGAGCCAAAUGUUAUGUAGGGGCCGACAGUCCUUGCCUUUCAGGCACUAUUAUCAGAGAAAAAAAAAUAGCAACAAAUAGGUACUAGCAUAGUAAGUGUCAAACUAGAACAGAGGCUGAAAGUGCUAUGGUUGCUUCCACUAUGUCAGAUCUGGCUGUAAGUAGACAGUGAAAGCUUCUCAGAGGAAGUGGGAUUUACAUUGGAUUUUGAAGGGGGUCAGACUCUGAUAAGAAAGGUGAUAAAGUGCAGCAAACUAGACGGAAGUCACAAAUGGACCAAAGACAGAGUCAAGUGCGCACCAAAUGUAGGCCGAGGCAAGGCUCGCUGGGCUAUCUACAAGGACUGUGAACUAGAGCAGGGGAUGAUGGGGUUUUGAUCUCAGCUUUCGGAUGAGUGUGAACUACGGAGGCUACCCAGUGAAGGCAUGAUGGGAAAGCAAAUUUUGGUCAGUGGGCAUCUGAGCAUGCAUCUUAGAUCGACAGUAUGAGAAUGUGAAUUCACAAAGGCAGUGGGAGUGGACCCACUAGCACAAUGUGGCGGUGGCAGGAGAAUCCACACAAGCUGGGCACCUCCUAGGGGUGUUCUGUAGCUACCUGACCAUUUGAAUGUGGAUGCAAACUCACCAGGAACUCAGACAAAGACAGAAAGAGGACACCCAACCUCCUGAGAGAGAACACAAAACUGCGUGUGAACAACAGAUGACUACUGGGGGAUUACAAGGCAAGUGGAGAUCUCUGCAAGUCAGAAUGAUCUAAAAAGGCAGCUCAAAUCCAACUUUUCUAACCAAGAAAUAGUCACUUUAAAAGAAGAUAAAGCUGACAAAAGCUUCUCCUGAUCACACUGAAAGUAUAUGUGCAAUAUCUGAACAAUCAUUUUUUUUCAAAUAUAGAACAUUUAUUAGCGACCAGUUUCCUGCAACAACAGAUUCAUUUGGAAACAGCACACCAUAGAAGACAAUCUUGUGACUUUCUUCUAGUUGUAUAUAAAAAAUACAAAUCAGUCAGAGAGUCGGGUACAAACAGUGGUACAAAAGCAUCAACAGAAAUGCCUUAUCAAAGAAUGUGCUCAUUUCAUAUUGCAGAACUCCUAUCUAGAUUCUGAUUUUUAGAAACUUACUACGGGUUCAUUUGUUCAGAGAGGUUUCUUCACACCUCUCUUGCGCUACCUCCCCCUGCUAAAAUCCACUGACUGAAGAACCCUUAGUGUGGAUCCACAUGGAACCAAAAGCCUGAACUGAACAGUUGUGUGCCUCAGCACAGCGGCUACCAAUUUCAUCUGCUCACCCAGCUUCAAGUAUUUAGGGACUGCCCAGAUCUGAAUUCAAGCUAGAAGCACUCAACACUUUUGUCUUUUAGAAUCUAAUCAAAGUGCCAAUGUACAUCUACGAGUCCUAUGUACAAAUAUCUCUUGAUUCCUACAAAUGAGAUUCAAGGGAGAGAAGAGUGAGGAAAGCCCAGAGGAGAGGCAGGAGACUGGUCUUCAUCAGGCCAGGGAUUCCGUUUUAAACCUCAACAAUUACGUUUUAUAUCCGAAUAAGUGUCGUGUGGCUAUUAGAGUCAAUCAAUGCAUAAAUUGAUGAUAAAUAUAUAUUGUUUAGAUGCCAUUCACACAAAUAUAUAUUGUUUCAGGUACAAUUACAUCAGUGAGUCCCUCUGGAACUUGGAGUAAUUCCUUCUCAUAUUAUUAUUUAUGUAUCUGAUGGAUAAAAAGGUAGAUAGAGUAGAUAGGUAGGAAGCUAGGUGGGUAGGUGGAAAGAGAUAUUAAUCGAGAUAUAGUUGUAAUCGGUGUGGGCUGAAAGGGCAGAUGGGUAGCAAACUGUGAGGCUGCAUACCUAGCUGAGGAAUUGACGCUUUCUCUUUGACCAACAGAAAACCAUUAGUAUGGUGUUUGGAUGCGUAUUUUGUAAGAUUGAGCUCCUAUCUGCUUUGGGGGAACUAAGGGUAAAUUUUUUUUUUUUUUUUUUUUGAGUUGGAGUUUUGCUCUUGUUACCCAGGCUGGAGUGCAACGGCGAGAUCUCGGCUCACCGCAACGUCCGCCUCCUGGCUUCAGGCAAUUCCCCUGCCUCAGCCUCCUGAGUAGCUGG
Molecule: long non-coding RNA, 4813 nt
Organism: Callithrix jacchus (white-tufted-ear marmoset)
Lineage: Eukaryota; Metazoa; Chordata; Mammalia; Primates; Cebidae
Source: Ensembl